UUCAAAAACAUAGCUUUAGGGGAGGGAAUCUAAGGUGGUUUCUGCCCGGUGCGAAAGUAAACGGCCGCUAGUGCGCUAAGGUAGCAUAAUAAGUUGUUCUUUAAUUGGGGACUGGUAUAAAUGGGGGUUUAUGGGUAAGCUUUUUUGUCUUCAACUAUAAAAAUUAAACUCUUUAUGAAAAUGUAAGGAUUUUAUUUAGGGACCAAAAGACCCUAGCGAGCUUUAAUCCUGGAGGAUUAUUUUUUAAGGGAUUUUUAUUGGGAGGGUAUUGGGUACACACCCAAAUUUUAAUAUUAAUUCUAUAAUGUAGAAAAAGGUGAAGCUACCGUAGGGAUAACAGGCUACCACUUUUUAAGAGUCCGUAUCUAAAAAAGUGCUUAGCACCUCGAUGUUGGCUUAAGGGACUACUAGGGUGUAUCAGUUCUAGUAAGAGGCUUGUUCCGCCUUGUUAACCUUACGUGAUCUGAGUUCAAACCGGA
RNAcentral lists this ribosomal RNA (479 nucleotides) under Ophryotrocha rubra. RNAcentral's name for it is "partial 16S ribosomal RNA". It matches the Rfam family "Bacterial large subunit ribosomal RNA", at positions 1806 to 2620 of the family's 2925-position model. The record is from RNAcentral. Lineage: Eukaryota; Metazoa; Annelida; Polychaeta; Eunicida; Dorvilleidae.